RNAcentral lists this unclassified non-coding RNA (138 nucleotides) under soil metagenome. Its description in RNAcentral is "partial internal transcribed spacer 1". The record is from RNAcentral.
CCUAGAGUUGUAGGCUUUGCCUGCUAUCUCUUACCCAUGUCUUUUGAGUACCUUCGUUUCCUCGGCGGGUCCGCCCGCCGAUUGGACAAUUUAAACCAUUUGCAGUUGCAAUCAGUGUCUGAAAAAACUUAAUAGUUA